GUGGGACGAGCCGCUGCUGGAAGCAGGAGGAGAGCCCUCCCUGUGCGGCAGCGGCAGCGGCUCCUCUUCGCCCCACGAGGGGCUGGACACCUUGCUGGGCGGGGACAUAGUGCUCAGGCUGGGGCUGACCACGCUAAUUAAGCGGGGACGAAAUUCCGGCUUCCGCACUCCCUGACGCGGGCGCAUGUUUGUGGGCAGCCCCGGAGCGCUCGACCCCGGAGCAGCUGUUGAGCGUCUGUCUCCCAGGGCAACCUCGGAACCUUUCAGGGUUUAAAGCCUCAGGACCCUGCGCCAAGCUUCUUUCUGCCAAGCUUCUUUCUGCCUUUGCUCUCUAGGUCUCUGAGCCCCUCUUAGCCAGCAGAGAAGCAACCUCCCUUUCCCUGGAGCCGGACCUUCUGGCUUUUUAAGGAGGAUACCCAUAAUGUCAUUUGGCACUGAGGGAGUUGUGGAAUUUGAUUUUUAUUAGAAAUAUGAUUAUUGGAAAUUCCAGUAAAACUCUGCUUACUAUAUUAGA
Molecule: long non-coding RNA, 514 nt
Organism: Mus musculus (house mouse)
Lineage: Eukaryota; Metazoa; Chordata; Mammalia; Rodentia; Muridae
Product: predicted gene, 46806
Exons: 2
Source: RefSeq, a predicted model, not a curated record